UACGGAGGAUGCGAGCGUUAUCCGGAUUUAUUGGGUUUAAAGGGUGCGUAGGCGGCGAUGCAAGUCAGCGGUAAAAGCCCGGGGCUCAACCCCGGCGAGCCGUUGAAACUGCAGUGCUAGAGAAGGCGAGAGGUACGCGGAAUGCGCAGUGUAGCGGUGAAAUGCUUAGAUAUUGCGCAGAACUCCGAUUGCGAAGGCGGCGUACUGGCGCCUGACUGACGCUGAGGCACGAAAGCGUGGGGAUCGAACAGG
RNAcentral lists this unclassified non-coding RNA (252 nucleotides) under uncultured Muribaculaceae bacterium. RNAcentral's name for it is "contains 16S-23S intergenic spacer region". It matches the Rfam family "Bacterial small subunit ribosomal RNA", at positions 524 to 776 of the family's 1533-position model. The record is from RNAcentral. Lineage: Bacteria; Pseudomonadati; Bacteroidota; Bacteroidia; Bacteroidales; Muribaculaceae.